Trachymyrmex cornetzi is the source of this 1360-nucleotide long non-coding RNA. RefSeq lists it as uncharacterized. The transcript has 3 exons. Lineage: Eukaryota; Metazoa; Arthropoda; Insecta; Hymenoptera; Formicidae. The record is from RefSeq and is a predicted model, not a curated record.
GUCUACUGCCGCUGCGCGUUACACCUGUCCGCCUCGUGCGCUCCGAUCCGCAACGAGACCAACGUGUUUCCGAAUGUCACUCUAAUCGGGGGAUGACUCCGCGACUUCCGAAGCGCCGAGACGCGCGUCGGAAGCCGCCAUCUUGACGACCUUGAAAGAUAAUCCUUGUAGAACCCGUCGCGCGUCAACCCGCCCAUCAACCUUGCGAUUGCAUUCGUUGAAAUUGUGACAGGGUGGCGAGGAACUACGAGAAGGGUCCUACUUAUGGCGUUUUCCGAAAAUUGUCGCCAACAUGCGAUGCCGUGCACGCUCCACACAUGUCAUACGACAAGAUUUACCCCGCGCGAUGAAGAUUAAAAAGGAUAAGUCUUAAGAUCACAGCUGGAAGAUUAUCCUUGGAAGAGCUUUUUCCGAUGGUGGCGAUUACAUAAUUAAUCGAAUAAUAUGCAAAUUUCUUCGUAAUGAUACCCGCCGGACUAUUAAUCCAAUUCUAGAUUACCGCGCAGUUUCCAUCGCGAAAAGAUGAAGAAAAACUCAAUUAAUUGCGUAAUGUUACGCAUUCAUUUUAUUAUACAUUCCGAACGGAUGUCAUCAUGCAAUUAAUGAUUUUUUUUAAUACACGAAAAUAUAUUAAUAAAACAAUGCUUGUCGAAAUAAUCUUCAUACUCUAUACGAGAAGAUUCAAAGCCAUCGAACAUGAUCCAAAACGUAAAAGUAAGUCACGAAUCUUACUAGCUUUUCCUCGUUGUUUAUUAUUUUCUCGGAUACUAGAUAAUUUCAGAAACUGUUUUCCUUCGAUGCAGAUUACAUCCCUGUGGAUGUAAUUUUUUCACGUCUCACGGUGCGAGAUAUGAGCGCAAAUCAAUAGCCUACGCGCGAAAUUUUUUACGCAUUUCGCAAUGUUCUCGCGUGUUACGAGAAAAUAUCGGAGAUACGUGCGUCAGCGGGGGAGGGGAGGAAAAAAAAUGAUUUUUUUAGAGCGCGAACCCGGAAUGGCGCCGGCGGUCCGGUUUAAUCUCGACACGCCCAUUACACACGACGUACAUAUUACAUCACGAUCGCACUCGAUAGCAAGCGUAUCUAUACGAGCCCUAUUCCCCUGUGCCUACCUACGAUACGUGUAAGCCGCAAUUAAAAUUCAAGAAAAAUUCUCGGAAACCUGUUUCGAGAGCGAGCGAAAUAUUUCGCUGCGGGGUGGUCACGCAGGAACGCCAGUCACGGAUGAUCUCGUUUAAUUGCCCUCAGCCCUUAAACACUCUCCCUCGAAAUUUUUGUCGUCCACCAUGUUCGAUAUUCUCUACCGUCGUGGUCAAUUAUUCCGCGCGAGAUUUGGAUAUUUCAACACCUCGUUAGGAAUAGA